RNAcentral lists this transfer RNA (90 nucleotides) under Paludibacteraceae bacterium. RNAcentral's name for it is "tRNA-Ser". It matches the Rfam family "tRNA". Rfam says of the family: Transfer RNA (tRNA) molecules are approximately 80 nucleotides in length. Lineage: Bacteria; Pseudomonadati; Bacteroidota; Bacteroidia; Bacteroidales; Paludibacteraceae. The record is from RNAcentral.
GGGUGGUUGGCAGAGUGGCUGAAUGCGGAGUCCUGCUAAGACUUUAAUCGUAGUUAAUACGGUUCGGAGGUUCGAAUCCUCCACCACCCG